AAUUCUUUGGCAGAAAAAUUGUAUUAAGCUUAGAACUUAAAAAUGAGGAUCCUACCUCAAGGAUUA
Molecule: transfer RNA, 66 nt
Filed under: Aptinothrips stylifer
Lineage: Eukaryota; Metazoa; Arthropoda; Insecta; Thysanoptera; Thripidae
Description: tRNA-Leu
Source: RNAcentral